This is a non-coding RNA of Heterocephalus glaber (naked mole-rat), 7879 nucleotides long. The record is from RefSeq and is a predicted model, not a curated record. Lineage: Eukaryota; Metazoa; Chordata; Mammalia; Rodentia; Bathyergidae.
GGGCCAUGCUCCUCCCCAGACAUCUUUCUCCCUGGUGACCCAUUCAGUGUUCCUUCUCCCACUCACUCAUGUCUGCCCACUACCAUCAUCUUUCUCUCCCCUUGUUUAACUACCUGUGAAUCACCUACUUGAACUGUUACUAAAUGUGAACUGGAGGUAGAAAGACCUUGAAGAUGACUGCAAUCCCCACCCUUUACCAAAGGGCAAAGUGAGGCCUGAAAGGCUCCUGCACACCUUCGUUAUUUUACACUCACUCUUCCUGGCCUUGCGCCCCUGACAUGAUCCAGGCCAGCCAGGGAUCUUCCAAAAACACCCAUCUAUCCGCCCAUGAUCCCGCCUGGCAACCCAUCAAAGCGCGGGCAUUGUUUCCUUCUCUGCGUCCUCCUGAGGUGCAGUAGAAACGGAGGGCCUCUCCUCUGUGACAGGCUCCAUCUCACCCAAGAGCCUUUCAACACUAAUCCACCCCUUGCCCAUACCUGGCUCUGGGCUUCUCAUCUUUGCGUCUCAAAUCUCUCAGGUUCGGGAUCCUACAGUGCUUGCAGCUUCUGCCUCAUCACCAACCUGCCUCCCCUCCUAGACGAUGAGCUCGGUGGACAGUGCCUCGACUGAUCUGUUCACCACUGUGCUCACAGCCAACGUUUGAUAAGGAAUAAGGAGAAAAAUGCUCAGAGAAGCCCAUGAUCCCAGCAGGGAGGUGUGCAAUCAAGUGGUGUGAAGACAGGCAGUGGCACAAACCUAUAAUCCUAGCUACUCAGGUGCCUGUGGCAGGAGGAUCUCAAGUUCAAGGCCGGCCUGGGUAACUUAUCAAGGCCUUGUCUGAAAAGAAAAUUUGUUAAAAGGCUCGGCGUGUCGCUGUUGUACAGCAUUUCCCUAGCAUAUGCGAGAUCCUAGGGUUCAAUCCACACCAGAAAGAAAAAAAGGAAAAGAAUGAAGUUCUGUGCAGGUAAUUGCAAGUAUUUUUGUAGGAAAAGGUUGAGAUGUGCGUAGAAACAAAAACUAAAGUUAGGGUAUUCGCUGCCUGAUCAGGCCGUGCAGUCUGCCCCUGCGGCCCGCGCAGGUCCUCAGUGCAGGUCCCAGGAUGGUGCUCGGCCACGUGCACAGCGCAGACCACGGAGCCCACGCGGCCGGUGAACAGCGUGCAGCCUGAAGGGGGGCCCAGCCCGGCUUCAGUACGCCUAGCCAAGCCGGACCGAUAAAAAUCAGCGCGGCCCAGGCCGUGACACGAAGAGCCGAAGGCUUCAAAAGAGGCCUUAGAUGCAGGGACAGGGGAACGACGGGAAAUAACCUAGGCCCACGUCAGGAACUCGGUCCAAUUCCCCAGAUUAACCGAGAGCCAAACAACAUUGCCGGGUGACAAGCGCCCUAACCUCUGGCUGCCUAGAAAGAUGACGUAAGGCGCGUGCCCCGCCAAUCGCGGAGUGCUCCGGCCCCGCCCGGUGCAUUGUGGAGCUUAGAGACCCACACUGGGUCUCGCGAGAGAGCCAGACGGGAAUCACGGAGACAAAGGCCGACAGAGAUGUCGCCUUCCCUUCUCAGAGUAGGCGGUCCUGGCGGGAGUGCACCAAUCACAACGCCUCUUCUUCCCGCCCGUGGGGAAUUGGUCCAGGGCUCACGUGAGUCGGCUGAGAGUCAUGUGAUGGCGCUGCCCCAGAGUCUGUAAUGAAGCCGGUGGCUUGCGGUAAAACCCGGAUUUGAAGAAGCCGCGAGCUUCCAGAGGGCAGGGCGCGUUCGGUCCCUUGCCUAGGAAAGGACCCGACGAAUGUGUCACGCGACUUCCCCUCGGACGCAGAGACGCUCCAAACGCUAUUCAGGGUUGGGUCGCUGAGCCCGGCAGAGCCCCUGCCUAGGCUGCCUUCGGCCCUGUCGUACCUGGGGGGAGGGUAGGCCCGUGUCCGCUCGGUGUGGCCGCCUUGUUACCUCUGCGACAGCGGUGAGGGCUCACAGGUGACUGCGGGGCCCCAGCCGAGGAGAGACGGUGGGGACGCACAGCCUGGAAGUGGGGAAUCGGGUGGACCAGCACCUUCUGAAGCCAGGUGGCGCCCACUUCCGUGCACAGCGAGUCACUGUUUCCUACGCAAGCUUUGGUGGCCCUGGACGACCACCCCUGUGCGUCCCAGGCUCCCAUGCCCCGUCGGCAGAAAUGCCAGGCCCCUUAAGCUUCUUGCACCAGAGCCAGCAAAAGAAGUGCAGGAGAGAGGAAUCAGGAAGCCAUAAGCGUGGGAGGAAGAGAAAUGGGCCCGGGCCUAAAAAGAAAUGGCUGUCCACAUUAGAUAAAAGAGGCAGAAAUCCCUGCCUUCACAGAACCUGCCUUUAGUGUCUGGAGAUGAGAAGCAAGAUGAAUAAAACCCACUCUUGGGCCAAGGAGGUAGAUCAGUGGUAGGGCACUUGCCUGAUAUUCGCAGGGCCCUGGGUUCAAUCUCUAGUGCCAAGGAAAUCAAAACAAAAACCCUGUAAUAUCUUGGAACGUAGUGGUACAGAGAAAAACUAAACCUAGGGACCUGUAGGAAGGGUGUGAGGAUGGGUGUCCUUUAUGUAGGGCCUUCUUAUGGGGCUGGGGAUGGAGGUCAGUCGUACAGUGUCUGCCUAGCAAGUACGAGACCCUAGGCUCGAUCCCAGUACUGCCAAAAAAAGAACAGAGGUGAGGGACAGUACUGCCAGCAGAGGGCGUGGCAGGUGCCCAGGGCCCUGGGCUGGGAAAGACCUGCAGGGCAGUGAGCGUGGGCGAUGCUAGCGGGUUGCCACCAAAGGAGGCCAUGGCAGGGUCCGCAAAGGGGCGUGGUCAGCCCUACUUGGUAACCGGCACCGUGUGCUGUUGGCCAGAGCACUGAGGACAGUGAGUGGACCACUUCGAUCAUGCACUUAGGAGGUGAGGGUAACCUGAACCCCAGUGGUGGCCGUGCAGAGAGAAGCAGUCAGAUCGCAGAGGCAUCCUGAAGGGAGGAUUACAGAGCUGUCUGGUUGGCUGGAAGCCUGUCUUCCCCUUCGUAGGGUCACCUCCACCUCAUUUCCGCUUCAAGCAUCCAGUCCACAGAGGGACAAGAGCUCAAUCUCAGCCCAUCUGGGAUCCCCUGCAGUGGCUGCUGCCAUGUCAUGGGGGGUGGGGAAUCUGGUCCCCUGUACUCCUGUCACCUAUGCUGGCACCCGCAGAGUCUGACCUCAGCACACACAGCAUGUCCUGCUGAAAUGGCACUGGAGGGCAGGCAGACCAAGGAAGAGAGCGGCACUCAGAGAACUGAAGGGUAAGCAGGUUUAUUAUUGCGAACAGGCCCAGCGAAGUCCCCUUCCAGGGCCUGAACCCCUUUUCUACAUUUGUCCUCAUAUUUAUCUGUUCUUCAGCCAGGGGAGGGGAGCAAGCAGGAAUUUACAGGAGCAGAACUUAGCACAAGGCAGGGAGGUGGAGGUGACAUUACUUUUUUAACUUUUCUUACAGUUUAUCUUAAAGACAUAGGGAGAUAGGGAGGUACAGGCUGGUGUUGUCUCAGCAAUUCAUCUGGGCACCGUGACCUUUGUGGGUCUAGCAAGAGGGCCGAGCCUUGAGACCCAUCAGCCUCGAGACUCAGCCUCUCUCCAGCCUUGAGACCAUCGGCCUCUGGUUUGUCCUUUGUUCCUUUCCAUUUCACAGCUUCACAUCUGUCUGAGCCCGCUUUGGAGGCAAGCAACUACCCCGCUGCUCUGAAAUUGCCAGGUGGUCUCCUCGCCAACAGCCCCCGGACACCCCCCAGCCUCCCCUCCGCCACCUUUGUCUAGGCCAGGCAGCAGCUGGCAGCCAGCUCCUUGCCUUGAUGCUGCCCUCCACAGCCUGGGGGAGCCUGGCUCGACACAGCCCCUCAUCCCUCCAUGUUUUGUAAGGCUCAGCUCUUGGAGCUUAGAGGCUACCACACAGGUGAGGCGGUCCGUGGGGUGAAGGUUCAGCAGGGUGUGUUUGGGGGGUGGACGGGGGGUGGACACACACCCCUUUGCCUCCUGGGACGGCGUGUGCUCAGAAGUGAGACAUUCCCAUCUGCCAGAGACCCCUGAAGGAAGUCCGUCCCCACCUGAUGACGCAGGCCUGAGAAUAAAAUACACUGGGAGACAGAACUAGGAGAGAGUGGGGCCAGGAUGCCCAAGGCCGGUGCAACCGGAACGGCCCUGGCCGGUCCCAGGCACUGACUCUUAUUGGCAAGCAAUUGGGGUAAAGGUGAGCUACGUGCAUUUUCUGUGGAAAUUCAUGUAAACAAGGCUCAGAAAGGAAAAGCCAAAGCAUUCUUGAAUUAGGAACAGAAUAGACAAAAUAUUGGUUGUAAUUAGAACAUCGUCCAUCUAGUCAGAAGGUCUUAGUUGUGGGAAUGGAGUUUGGGUGCAAGUUACUCUGACCUGGGCACGUAGGCUUCGGCCAGACUCACUUCUAUAAACAAGCCAGUCGUGGGUUUCACUCUUCACAGCCUACCUUGGGCAUGAUCAGUAUUACGUCCUCUGCACCCAUGGCUCAGAGUCACCUCUGGAAGGUCAAAUGCGAGGAGUGGACUUGUUUCUUUGCUGACAGCCCUUCCGAAGGCUGCAUGGAUGAAUGGUGGUUUCAAGGGGAAAUCAUGCUGGUUGAUAACCGGCCCCCCGAUUUGGGGUGUUUUGUAAUGUUUUUGGUUUGGUUUGGCUUUUGGAGACAAGGUCUCACUAUGUGGCUCAGGCUGGCCUUGAACUCACUCUAGAAGGCUGAGGCAGGAGGAUCGCAAGUUACAGUCCUGCCUGGGCAACUCAGCAGGGCAGCUGGCGGUAAAGGAGAGUUAUUGUUUGAUAGGUGGAGAAUUUUCAUUUGGGAGGAUAAAAACUAGAAAUGGACAGUGGUGCUGGUAGCACAACUCUACAGUUAUCCUUAUGCUGCAGAAUUACACAUUUUUUAAAAUGACUAAAAUGGUUAAAAAAAAAAAAGAUAAAUCAUAUGUAUAGUUUACCAUAAUUUUUUUAAAGCUGAAAUAAGCAGUUUAAGCAAGACUUCUACUUUUUGCAUUUCAAUGAAGAAAUCUUUACUUAAAAACAAAACAGGCGAGUGUGGUGGUGCAGGCCUGUGGAGGCUGAGGCAGGAGGAUCACCAUGAGUUUGAGGACAGCCUGGGCUACAUAGUGAGUUCAAGGCCAGACUGAACUAUACAGCAAGACCCUGUCUCCAAAAACCAGAUAGAUACAGGUUAGAUGAUAGAUAGACAGAUGCUAGAUCAGAUGAGAAAGUGACUCAGCAGGGCUGGGCUGCAGCUCAGGUAGAGCACUGCCCUAGCAGAUGUGAGACCCUGGCUCCAUCCCUAGCACAGCAGAAAGUAGAAAGGGAAACUCCACUAACAGCCCGUGUUUAUUAAACCCAUGCAGCGCUGUGCUGAGCGGGCACUGUCCGCAGACCUCAAGCCCCACAGGCUCUGCCACUAAAGCACUGGCACCAGACGGCUCUUCAGAUUUGUGCCUGGCCCCAGCCCCAGAGUCACAGCCUCGGAGGCAGGGGAGCCCUGCAGUGAGGACCUCGGUGGCCCCAAGCUCAUCUGCCCUCAGCAGCCGGUUUCCAGUGCAGGCCGCACCAGCUAGACACCAGGCCAUGAUUUCACAUGGGGAACAGAGUGCAGAGAAGUCAAAUAGUACUGGAGAUCGAACUCAGGACCUUGCACAUGUGAGGUAGGCAUGCGCCACUGUAGCGCUGCGGGGUGGCCUGCCUCCCCCUGUGGGGAGAUUUGCAUCCUGGUCCCAUUUACGUCAUUCUCGGCCCCGUGAGAAAACAGGCAAGUGACACGCAUCACCUUUAAGCAGAAGCCCAAGGGCAAUCAAGGCUCUGCACGGCCCAGCUCCGGCGACCACAGCAAAGCUCCAGCCCGCCCUUCAGGAAGAUGCAGCGGCCCAAACAGUGCCCCCUCCAGUCAGGGCCGCUGAACCAGAGCUGCGGGGUCUCCGCAGGGCGACCUCGCCUGCACCCCGAGGCAGUGACCUUUGUGUUCUGCCAGGUGGGGGCUGGAGUUUGCAGCACUCGGUUCUGCCACUUAGGGUGCAAACAUGGCAUCGGAACCUCCGCCUGGCCGCGACACGUGGCGUGCGAAGAGGACACAGGGCAGAACGCAGCGGCGAAGGAGGCCGGAUCCACCCAAAAGUGCGGGACUCAGGUAGAGCUGGCACCCCUGAGGGCGUGGUCUUGAGGCCACAGUGAAAUCCUGCUGUCCACACCUGUGGUUCCGCAGCCACCACCAGAGACCCCUGGGCUGAGGCUGAGUUUGCAGCCCCUCUCAUUCCGCGAGACCGCAGUAGAGAAGGAAGUGCAGGGCACACCUCCAGGCACCGCCAUUGGCACUAGAGCGCUCACAGAGGUACUGGCAAGUUCUCUUCUCUGUCCCCCUCAGACACAGCUUUGGCCCUUCUUUUUAUGAAGAACACAAUGAGUAACACACACACACAUGCACACACGAGCACGUGUGUGUGUAGUAGGGGGACUGAACCCAGGGCCUGUGCACUAAGCUGCCUCAGACUCCUAGCGUGUGGGGUUAGAGGUGUGUGGCACCACACCUGGCACAUCUGUCACUCUAAUCUGUCUGAAGUGGUCGACCCGACGGCCCCAGGAAGUCUUGGGCGGCUCCAUCUCCUGGCAGAGGGAGCCCUGUCUUCCGCCUUUACACAGCGAGGACUCGGCAUGGUGGGAGGGCCUGGUGGAGGAGAGCUGCUCACAUCUUGGUGACCAGGAAGCAGAGAAGGGAGCACUGGGACAGCGUCACCACUCUCCUAGGGCUGCCACAGCAGAGGACCGUGAACUCUGUGGCUGAGACUCGGGGAGCAGCCUCUCCCCAGCCUCCUCCUAGCUGCCAGGAAUCCGGGGGCGAGACAGAACCUUCUGGACCCAAGAGAGAGCCUGCCCUGUGCCUCUCCUUAUGGGCACCUGAUGGCUCCUGGCCACAUGUGGCCUCCUUGGCUGGUGGACGCAUUUCCCCUGUCUCUGUCUGUUGUCACAAGGCCUUCUUCCCGUGGACAUUUAUGUGUCUGGGUCCAGAUUUCCCUCUUCUUUUUGGUGUUUUGAGGCAGGUCUCACCAUGUAGGCCAGGCUGGCCUUGAACUCACAGAGAUCCUAUUGGAUUUAGGGCUCAUCCUAAUUCAGAGUGGUCUCAACUCGGUUUCAUCCACAAAGACUUAAUUUCCCAAUAAGGCCACAUUCACAGACCUGGCAGGCCUUCAGCAUGUUUUGAGGGAAGAAAAUUUGUUUCAUGGUGUCUUCCCAAAAGAGUUAGAGACAUCAUGUUACAGUGACCCAAGGACACGGUGUUUAUAGCAGCACGACUCAUCAUAGCUAAAUCUUGGAAGCAGUCUAUAAGCUCAUCAACGGAUGAAGAAAAUGUGGUAUUUACAGACAAUGGAGUACUACUCUGCCAUAAAGAAGGAUAGACGAGUCAUUUGUAGGACAAUGGGUGCAUCUUGAGACUGGAAUGUUGUGACACAAGUCAGACACACAUGGCUGACUAAAUAUCACAUGGCUUCUCUUAUAUAAGAAACCCAGAGUAAAAAUAAAGACCAAAUAAAAAACAUGAAAGAAAGGAAGCAGGUCUUUCUCAGAGGGAAAGGGCUUCAAGAGGUGGAGGAGGAGGGAGGGAAGGGAUAAGGACCACCAAGGAACGGAAACGUUAUUUGCUACAAACACGGACCCAAAAAGGGAGAGGAGGAAGGGGUGGGGGGAGGGAAGGGAAGGAGGUGAAGAAGAAAUGCCCGUAGGAAACAUGUACUAAUUAACAUUUAAAAACCAAUCCGUCGGUCAGUAAAAGGGCACAGACAGGUACCGGGAGUGGCCACACUACUAUCAUUGACAGCAAGUGCCUCCACGAGAAGUGGAGACAGUGACCUGCGGCCAAGCUCCAGCUUGCAGCGGUACAGCGGUUGAGGAGCCCGAGAGA